UGUGUAGCUGACCCAAAAUAGUUUCAAAGGCUCAGAUGCAACUUGAUACCGAAAUUUUCUCCACACGUAUUAAAGUUAGCCUUGUAAAUGCUGAAGGCCUCGUAAAAGUUUUCCUGAGUAGUUAUGAGGCUCUCAGGACGCGUUGUACCUUUGGUUCAUGAGAUGGGAAAGGCAGGUGUUCAUGUCACUUGCAGGUAAAUCCAAAUAAAAGAUGCCUCUGCAGUGAGGUGUUUUCGACAAGUCAGAAAAAGCUCCAGAUGUAUAGAAAUUGGGUUGACAUUUAAAGGGUUCUAAAUAUGCUACGUAGCCAGCUAGGCUGAGGAGGUCCCUGUGAGUCUUCAUCAUCUGAUGCCUCGUGUCUAUGUAUCACUAUUAAUGCUUCCACCGCCACCAAUUAACAAUAGUAACGAUUAUUCUCUGAUUACUUAAAAUGUCCCAAGCCCUUUCCCGUCUAUGAUCUUGUUAAAGUAUCUCUUUAACUGUUUGUAACUGGAACUAUUUUCACUACUGUUUUACAGAUCAGAGAAUUUGUGGUUUAGAGCAAUGGUUUCUAAACUUGGCUGUAGAAUCCUCUGGGGGUGGGGGCUUUUAAAAAUCCCAAUACCAAGAUAGCAACCUGUACCCAUUACAUCAGAACGACUGGGGGUGGAAACGAGGCAUUAGUGUUUUACAAAAAUACUAAUGAAAAAGACAGGUGAUUCUAAUGUGCAGCAAGUUUAGGAACUACUGGAUUAAACAGAUUUAAAUCUGAGAUUAGCUGAUGGUCACCCGGCUACCAAAAGGUAAAAUAAAGGGGCCAUUUGAGUCUAAACCUUGUACUUUUCCCAAUAUACCAGGGUGCCUUUCAUCCUCCUACUGGGAAAAUUACAAGAUGUGUACAAAAUGGAAUCCAUGGACCCUACUGUUAAGGAAUUUAUGGUCUGAGGGAAAAAAAAUCAUGUUAAGUAAAGACCAAAUUAGCAUUAAACUAUGUGGUGUUGGUUAUGAACCCAGUAAAAUUUGGUAGCUAUUAAGAUAGCCAAGGACAUGAGUCUACUCAGAUUUUGUGCUUUAUUUAAAAGAAACACUGAAAUAACCCACGCUAACCAACAAAAGUUAAGGAAGUGAGUUAAAAUCAGAACUGGAGACCGAAGAACACUGAGGUUGAACUAUCUUAGCACUAGGAAAACUGGAUCCUUCGAGAAAUCACAUCAUACAUUCAUUUAUCAAACAAUAAUUUAAGCAUUAUUACAUGGAGUGUACUUGAGACAUAUUUAAUUCUCAUAGUCACUCAGAGAGGUGUUAUCACCCUUACCUUGCAGAUUAAAAAACUGAAACUCAGUGAAGACAAUAACUUGAGCUUAUAUCACUAAUAAGUCUCAGACCUGAAAUUCACAUUCAGAUUUAUCCAAUUAAUAUCAAUAGUAAUAAAGGUCCUAAUAUGUGCUAAGGAAUGAGACAGCUAUUGUGGAUAUGAUGGUGAGUAAAAUAUAGUCCUUGACCUCAUUGACCUUCACAUCUAGUGAGGAAGACAGACAUUAACCAAACUUUCAUACAAAACCUGUAAAAAUGCAAAUAUGUUCUAGUAUAUAAGGCAAGAUGUAUAGUAGGUAUUCAUUAGGCAAUUAAGGGAAGGAAGGGAAACAAAGGGAACAGCUCAUGACAUUUUCCUAUGAUGAGAAGGAACAUGGGACUCAGAUGGAGAGGAAAGAAGGCCCAUGGAGCUGGAACAUUGACAAAGAGGGUAAGUGGCCUGAUUGAGCAUGCUGAGUUGGGGAAGAACCCUAUAACAGGGCCUGGUGAAAGAGGAAAAUGAGAGGGUGGAUUUGCGGCUGCCACGUGGAAUUGAAGGUCUACUGUUGUAAAACGUCCCGUGGGAAGGAAGGGAGCUGAGUUUCCUUUGGAGGUGGUUGGAUUCACCUGCUUGUGGAGGCACCAUCUGGCUGAGUCACUCUACAAGCUUGAACCAGCAGAAUGAGAUCUUUUCUGUGAUGCCAACAUUUUUCCUGGACCACAAGAGACCACCAGAAGAACAGUGCUCUGGGCGGCCAGUCAACUCUGACCACAUAACAACUCUGCCUUUUUCUCCCGAUCAUAUGUUCCAGAGGGAAACUGGCAAACAUCUUUGCCUUUUAGUGUGGACCCAUCAGCAUCCUAGGAAACACAUCCAGAAUUCAGUCACAGACAAGAAACAUAUCUUCACAGCCUUCCUGGCGAAGCUGCUCUCCCUGCUUUAGCUGAGUACCAAUGAUAGAAUGCCAGCCAAGCGCUGGAGUACUUCCUUGUGAGGUUGAAUUAAAAUGUGAAAAAACAAAUUCAACCAAUAUUUACUGAAUGACUCACACGUCCUGGGGUAGAUGUUUUACGUGGCUUGCUUCAUUUGUUCCUCAUGCAGCAACGCAAUGUGGUGGCUAACAUAUUGACUUAAUUACAACUGGAUUAAUAGAAUGGUCUCGUAUUGGAUAGGGCAAGUACCCUUUGCCAUUCUUCUAUUUUAAAAAGUUGACUAUUCUCUGGGAUUUAUUUCUUUCAUGGAAAUUUUAAGAUCAUUUUAUCUAAUUCCAAACAAACUCCCUAAAUUAUGUGUUUACAGUAGCUCCCCUUUAUCUGAGGGGGAUAUGUUCCAAGACCCCCAGUGGAUGCCUGAAACUGCAGAUAAUACCAUAUGCUGUA
This is a long non-coding RNA of Lemur catta (Ring-tailed lemur), 2652 nucleotides long. RefSeq lists it as uncharacterized. NCBI's taxonomy places the organism in Eukaryota, Metazoa, Chordata, Mammalia, Primates, Lemuridae. The transcript is spliced from 3 exons. The record is from RefSeq and is a predicted model, not a curated record.